RNAcentral lists this ribosomal RNA (852 nucleotides) under Pseudomonas putida. Its description in RNAcentral is "bacterial SSU rRNA". It matches the Rfam family "Bacterial small subunit ribosomal RNA", at positions 25 to 886 of the family's 1533-position model. The record is from RNAcentral. Lineage: Bacteria; Pseudomonadati; Pseudomonadota; Gammaproteobacteria; Pseudomonadales; Pseudomonadaceae.
GGGAAUUUCGCGCGGUUGGCUCAUCUCCUUAAGUCGAGCGGAUGACGGGAGCUUGCUCCUUGAUUCAGCGGCGGACGGGUGAGUAAUGCCUAGGAAUCUGCCUGGUAGUGGGGGACAACGUUUCGAAAGGAACGCUAAUACCGCAUACGUCCUACGGGAGAAAGCAGGGGACCUUCGGGCCUUGCGCUAUCAGAUGAGCCUAGGUCGGAUUAGCUAGUUGGUGAGGUAAUGGCUCACCAAGGCGACGAUCCGUAACUGGUCUGAGAGGAUGAUCAGUCACACUGGAACUGAGACACGGUCCAGACUCCUACGGGAGGCAGCAGUGGGGAAUAUUGGACAAUGGGCGAAAGCCUGAUCCAGCCAUGCCGCGUGUGUGAAGAAGGUCUUCGGAUUGUAAAGCACUUUAAGUUGGGAGGAAGGGCAGUAAGCUAAUACCUUGCUGUUUUGACGUUACCGACAGAAUAAGCACCGGCUAACUCUGUGCCAGCAGCCGCGGUAAUACAGAGGGUGCAAGCGUUAAUCGGAAUUACUGGGCGUAAAGCGCGCGUAGGUGGUUCGAUAAGUUGGAUGUGAAAGCCCCGGGCUCACCUGGGAACUGCAUCCAAACUGGCGAGCUAGAGUACGGUAGAGGGUGGGGAAUUUCCUGUGUAGCGGUGAAUGCGUAGAUAUAGGAAGGAACCCAGUGGCGAAGGCGACCCUGUGGACUGAUUCUGACACUGAGGUGCAAAGCGUGGGGGAGCAACAGGAUAGAUACCGUGGUAGUCCACGCCGAAAACGAUGUCAACUAGCCGUUGGAUUCUUGAAAUUUUAGUGAGCAACUAACGCAAUAAAUCAACCGCUGGGGAAUACGCC